This 497-nucleotide ribosomal RNA is filed under the name uncultured bacterium. RNAcentral describes it as "partial 16S ribosomal RNA". It matches the Rfam family "Bacterial small subunit ribosomal RNA", at positions 28 to 507 of the family's 1533-position model. The record is from RNAcentral.
GAUGAACGCUGGCGGCGUGCCUAAUACAUGCAAGUCGAGCGAACGGACGAGAAGCUUGCUUCUCUGAUGUUAGCGGCGGACGGGUGAGUAACACGUGGAUAACCUACCUAUAAGACUGGGAUAACUUCGUGAAACCGGAGCUAAUACCGGAUAAUAUUUUGAACCGCAUGGUUCAAAAGUUAAAGACGGUCUUGCUGUCACUUAUAGAUGGAUCCGCGCUGCAUUAGCUAGUUGGUAAGGUAACGGCUUACCAAGGCAACGAUGCAUAGCCGACCUGAGAGGGUGAUCGGCCACACUGGAACUGAGACACGGUCCAGACUCCUACGGGAGGCAGCAGUAGGGAAUAUUCCGCAAUGGGCGAAAGCCUGACGGAGCAACGCCGCGUGAGUGAUGAAGGUCUUCGGAUCGUAAAACUCUGUUAUUAGGGAAGAACAUAUGUGUAAGUAACUGUGCACAUCUUGACGGUACCUAAUCAGAAAGCCACGGCUAACUACGUG